ACGCGCAGCCUGGGCCGCGGAUACAUCACCUGCUGAGCAAACCGCCAGCCCCUAAGUCGGGAUUCCGACUCCAAAACACGUUCCACGCCACACCGCAUCGUUUACCGCUAACGAAGGUCUGGGUCACGUGUGUGGCUUCCCCGGGAGACCAGUGGAUGGCGGCUUCUACUUAGACUUGAAGGUUGCGCGGCCGGGCGACACUGUGGAGUACUUCUGCUGGCCCGGAUUCUCGCUGUUCGGAAAGAAGGAGCGCGUCUGCCUGACCGAGGGCUUUUGGUCCGACCACAUGCCCGUCUGCAUGGAGAACCUGGCGGAGGGACAGCACACGGCUUCGUCCAUAGUAAAGCAGGGGCAGGUAUCCAGCCUGGCGGUGGAUGGCGACAGGACCACAUGCACCAUUCUGGAUCGCGCCACCACACAGCGCUACUGGCAGGUCGAUCUGCCGCCAGGUGUGCGCAUC
Molecule: long non-coding RNA, 460 nt
Organism: Schistocerca piceifrons (Central American locust)
Lineage: Eukaryota; Metazoa; Arthropoda; Insecta; Orthoptera; Acrididae
Exons: 3
Source: RefSeq, a predicted model, not a curated record